RNAcentral lists this ribosomal RNA (253 nucleotides) under uncultured bacterium. Its description in RNAcentral is "partial 16S ribosomal RNA". It matches the Rfam family "Bacterial small subunit ribosomal RNA", at positions 524 to 776 of the family's 1533-position model. The record is from RNAcentral.
UACGAAGGGGGCUAGCGUUGUUCGGAAUCACUGGGCGUAAAGCGCACGCAGGCGGAUCGAUAAGUCGGGGGUGAACGCCCGGGGCUCAACCUCGGAAUUGCCUUCGAUACUGUCGGUCUCGAGUCCGGGAGAGGUGAGUGGAAUUCCUAGUGUAGAGGUGAAAUUCGUAGAUAUUAGGAAGAACACCAGUGGCGAAGGCGUCUCACUGGCCCGGUACCGACGCUCAGGUGCGAAAGCGUGGGGAGCAAACAGG